UAAGGAAUAUUGGUCAAUGGACGCAAGUCUGAACCAGCCAUGCCGCGUGAAGGAUGAAGGUCCUCUGGAUUGUAAACUUCUUUUAUCUGGGACGAAAACGGGAUUUUUAUCUCAAUUGACGGUACCAGAGGAAUAAGCACCGGCUAACUCCGUGCCAGCAGCCGCGGUAAUACGGAGGGUGCGAGCGUUAUCCGGAUUUACUGGGUUUAAAGGGUGCGUAGGUGGGCUUAUAAGUCAGUGGUGAAAUCUCCGAGCUUAACUUGGGAACUGCCGUUGAUACUAUAGGUCUUGAAUUAUCUGGAGGUAAGCGGAAUAUGUCAUGUAGCGGUGAAAUGCUUAGAUAUGACAUAGAACACCAAUUGCGAAGGCAGCUUACUACAUAUAAAUUGACGCUGAGGCACGAAAGCGUGG
Molecule: ribosomal RNA, 411 nt
Filed under: uncultured bacterium
Lineage: Bacteria
Description: bacterial SSU rRNA
Rfam family: Bacterial small subunit ribosomal RNA
Source: RNAcentral